Molecule: ribosomal RNA, 497 nt
Filed under: uncultured bacterium
Lineage: Bacteria
Description: partial 16S ribosomal RNA
Rfam family: Bacterial small subunit ribosomal RNA
Source: RNAcentral
GACGAACGCUGGCGGCGUGCCUAAUACAUGCAAGUAGAACGCUGAAGAGAGGAGCUUGCUCUUCUUGGAUGAGUUGCGAACGGGUGAGUAACGCGUAGGUAACCUGCCUUGUAGCGGGGGAUAACUAUUGGAGACGAUAGCUAAUACCGCAUAACAAUGGAUGACACAUGUCAUUUAUUUGAAAGGGGCAAUUGCUCCACUACAAGAUGGACCUGCGUUGUAUUAGCUAGUAGGUGAGGUAAUGGCUCACCUAGGCGACGAUACAUAGCCGACCUGAGAGGGUGAUCGGCCACACUGGGACUGAGACACGGCCCAGACUCCUACGGGAGGCAGCAGUAGGGAAUCUUCGGCAAUGGGGGCAACCCUGACCGAGCAACGCCGCGUGAGUGAAGAAGGUUUUCGGAUCGUAAAGCUCUGUUGUAAGUCAAGAACGGGUGUGAGAGUGGAAAGUUCACACUGUGACGGCAGCUGACCAGAAAGGGACGGCUAACUACGUG